GUCGUAAGGAGGACGCAAUCCAAAGCACGUAAAAAGGGCCCCAAUUAAGGGCCGACAGAUAAACCAAAGGCUUACAUCCUUCUAAUCGCGCUGACAUUUGCUCUGCUAGAGAAAUGUGCUGCAUUUUGGUUAGAAGAAGAGUCAACACAACACCAAAAAAAAAAAUCUUUUAUUUUCUGGACUGCUUAUCCUCACAAGGGUCACAGGCGUGCUGGUCGCCUGCCAUAUAUAAACAAACAACCAUUCGCACUCACAUUCACACCUACGGGCAAUUUAGAGUCUUCAAUCAACCUACCACGCAUGUUUUUGGGAUGUGAGAGGAAAUCUGAGUAAGCAGAGAAAUCCCACACAGGCGCAGGGAGAACUUGCAAACUCCACACAGGCGAGGCCGGAUUUGAACACGAGUCCUCAGAACUGUGAGGCAGAUGUGCCGCAAGAACAUAUCUUUAUGAAAUGUAGUUUGCAGCAGCCCCUUUUAUAGAAUAUUUAAUUAAAUCUAAGAGGGGAAACUACAGGGUAACAUACAGAGGGACUCUACGACAAAAAGAAAAUAACACUAAUGGUAAAUGAAAAGGGAAGAUAGGACAUUGUGUGUUGCUGGACUAAAAUUGAGCGUGAAUAGGUUGCAACCUCUUCCUGCCUUUUUCGUUGAGUCGUUGGUAACUCAGAGAGCUCACGCUUGGCUGGAAGCGCGACUUGUACUUUUAUCAGCAACUUGUCUGAUCGCGACCGACAGGAAUGACGAAUUAGAUCAUGCGGGGGAAUAAAGGAUGACGCUCCGAGCCGAUCGCUUUGUUGCAAAGCUAUCGCGCAAAAUGCCGGCCCAUACAUAUGGUGAGAUCCUCCCAGCCGCUUGGCAACUGAUCGUCUCUCGACCAGGAUUUGAGUAAAUGGGAUCCGGAAUCGUGAUGAGUGAACUGCGUUUGGAUAGCCAGCCGAGCUUCAUCCCGAGCUUCCUCCGACGAAGAUCGACGAAGGCGAAAACAAAGGAAAUCAACACCCACGAGUCGAACGUCUUUUAGAUUACGACGAAGAAAAGUUUAUGCAUCCAGCAGACUUUCGACUCCCAUUCCAGUACGCAUUGACAACAAAAAAAGGGUCGCGGGCGUGCUGGAGCCUAUCCCAGCUAUCAUCGGGAAGGAGGCGGGAUACACCCUCAACUGGUUGCCAGCCAAUCGCAGGGCUGGCAACCAUACAAAUACAAACAAACAACCAUCCGCCUUCACAGUCACACCUACGGGCAAUUUAUGCAUGUUUUUGGGAUGUGGGAGGAAACCGGAGUGCCCGGAAAAAACCCACGCAGCCACGGGGAGAACAUGCAAACUCCACACAGUUGGGGCCAGGGAUUGAACCCGGGUCCUCAGAACUGUGAGGCUUACGCUCUAACCAGUCGUCCACCGUGCCACCUGCAAUUUCAACAAUAUAUUUUUAUAGUGAUAGUUAUAUUUCUAAACUGCAAAGUCCUCAAGCAGAAGUAGAGAAGGAUUUCAAGGAGUAUGACAACCAAACAAGAUUCCAUUCACUGCCACCGAAGAAUAAAAUCCAAAGGUGGAUAAAACCUUGCUAGAUUUUAUGCACAAGGUAAUAAAAACCUGGACUAUUGAGCAAACGGUAGAGGAGGAAAAUUUGGAGGAAAAAAAAGUGCAAG
Phyllopteryx taeniolatus (common seadragon) is the source of this 1648-nucleotide long non-coding RNA. RefSeq lists it as uncharacterized. The record is from RefSeq and is a predicted model, not a curated record. Lineage: Eukaryota; Metazoa; Chordata; Actinopteri; Syngnathiformes; Syngnathidae. The transcript has 4 exons.